Molecule: ribosomal RNA, 509 nt
Filed under: uncultured bacterium
Lineage: Bacteria
Description: bacterial SSU rRNA
Rfam family: Bacterial small subunit ribosomal RNA
Source: RNAcentral
AGAGUUUGAUCAUGGCUCAGGAUGAACGCUGGCGGCGUGCUUAACACAUGCAAGUCGAACGCUGAAGCCCAGCUUGCUGGGUGGAUGAGUGGCGAACGGGUGAGUAACACGUGAGUAACCUGCCCUUAACUCUGGGAUAAGCCUGGGAAACUGGGUCUAAUACCGGAUACGACCAGUCACCGUAUGGUGUGCUGGUGGAAAACGUUUGUAGUGGUUUUGGAUGGACUCGCGGCCUAUCAGCUUGUUGGUGAGGUAAUGGCUCACCAAGGCGACGACGGGUAGCCGGCCUGAGAGGGUGACCGGCCACACUGGGACUGAGACACGGCCCAGACUCCUACGGGAGGCAGCAGUGGGGAAUAUUGCACAAUGGGCGCAAGCCUGAUGCAGCGACGCCGCGUGAGGGAUGACGGCCUUCGGGUUGUAAACCUCUUUCAGUAGGGAAGAAGCGAAAGUGACGGUACCUGCAGAAGAAGCGCCGGCUAACUACGUGCCAGCAGCCGCGGUAAUAC